Molecule: RNA transcript, 2087 nt
Organism: Diospyros lotus (date-plum)
Lineage: Eukaryota; Viridiplantae; Streptophyta; Magnoliopsida; Ericales; Ebenaceae
Exons: 3
Source: RefSeq, a predicted model, not a curated record
GCCGCCUCUCUCUCUCUCUCUCUCUCUCUCUUUCUCAUAAUUCUCUAACUGCGAUCUUCAAAUCACUGAUUCGGAUCACUAUUCUUUGUCGCUCGAAGGCAUCGUCUCCGUAUCGAUCUGUUUAUGCAUAUACAGAGAUAUAGAAAAUGGAUACCGCGGAAGAAGCACCGCUACUACCACGACCAUCAAGAUUCGGAUUGGUACUAUUCUUAUGCAGCACGUGAAUCUUCUGGAGUACCUUCCUGGGAAAGGCAAUUUUGUAUUUUGGUAGGGUCAGUUCCAUGGGAGAAGGUUGUGGUUGCAAGACACUACAUGUUUUGUCAUAAUGAUGUGGUGAAAUGGAAUGAUUCUGCUGGUGAAGAAGCAUUCAACAAUGCAAAAGAACGAUUUUGGGCAGCAAUUAAUGGCCUUCCAUGUGAUAUCCCUCUUCCUGAUCCUAACAUUUAUAUAGAUGAAAUUGAUUGGAAUCCUCAUAUUGAUCCUGAACUAAUAGCUGGCCUUGAUCGAGAAUACUUUAAUCCUGAUGAAGGGGAAAAAGAUAAAAAGGUGGAGACUACAAAUGAGAAGGUGCAAAACUCACCUUCUACUUGUGCUAUUGGAUGGCAAUCUAAUUUGUUUGGCUGUGAAAGUCCUUGGGAAGGUAAUGUUUUGAGGGAUGUGGAAGCUUCAAAGGAUGUCGCCAAAGGUUGGGACCGGUGGGAUGGCACUAAAAAUGAACCAAGGAAUUUAAAUACUAUAAAAAAUCCUUGGGAACGGACUUGUACUCUAGAUGAAGGAAAAUUGAAAGAUAAUGCAUGGGGGAGUUGGGGGGAUAAAUCGAGGGGUUGGAAACUGCAGGAAGGCUGUAACAAGCAGUUUAAGAAUUAUCAGAGUCCUUGGGAACAUGGUCAUCAUAAUGUUGGAUCUGUAAAGGGGAAAGGACAGAGUGAUGCUAGAAAUAGUUCUUGGGGUUGGGAUCAUUGGGACACCAGCAUUCAUGAGUCAAGGAAAUUUGGAAGUAGCUACACUUCAUGGGAAGAUGGAAAAGAUGGAGGGUGGGGAAAUUAUGGGGAUAUAAACUGGAGAAAGCAGCGCAGAAAUCAGAAUGCUGGGGCAAAACAUUUGCCCCCUAGAAGAAAUGGUGGAUCUUUUGGAGCCUUGAAUGGUGGUUGCCAAAAGAGAGCAGGUUCUCCUCAGAAUUCAUCAAAGUUCAGAAGUUCAAGGUUUGAAGGUGAUGAAUAUGGGACCAUGCAUCAUUGGAGGAAGGGACCAAGUCAAAGAAGAGUCAGUUUUGCAUGAGAAGCUGGUGAUGGCUUUCCAACAUCUGGCACAAAGCCCAGUAAAACUUGAUCAAUCCUGUCUAUUUGUUACAGAGUUCAAAGACCUAUGUUUUUGACAAGUCACCAAGUCCCUCCUUUACCAUACCUUCUAUAGCAAAGGAAUGUGAUAGAUUUUUGUGCUCAAUGAUGAGAUAGAGGCUUCAUCCCAUGGAGGUUUCGUAGACUCUUCAUCAAAUGGGAGGACCGUCUAGAUCUAGAUGCUGCAUGGAUUCUUGAGGAUGAUUUUCAAGUCUUGGAUCUCGAGCUCUUGGAGUGGUAUUUGCAGUCUAUCUCAUCAAUAUUCCUAGCAGAAAUGCAAAGAUUCAAAGUUUUCUCAUCUAUUGCGAGAAUUCCAGCAUGAAGAUCUACAGAACUUGAGGUUGAGUUUUCUCCCACCAAAGGAGAAUGAUGGGGGACAAGAUAGGAAUAUUUAGAAGAUAUUAUUAAUAUAUAUAUAUAUAUAUAUUUUAUUUGAUUUAGAAUAUUUUUGUUUAGUUCUUUCCUAAUCAGUUUUGGAAAGAUUAUAUUUCCAAGUUUAGGAUGCGAAUUAGGAUAGGUUUUUGAUCUUUGAUAUAUUUCCUAAUUAUCUAGGAUCUCUAGUCUAUAUAAAUCCUUUUGGAUGUAUUACUAAGUAGACUUCGAUUAUUAAUAUUGAAUUUGAGAAUUGGUUUGAGUUUUCAAGAUUAUUCUCGUGUUCUUUGUAUCAGGUUCUGCAUUAUUAGUUCUGGUUGUAACUUGUAAAACCUCAUUAUGAUAAAGUUUGGAAGCAGUCAUUGCGUACUCUGCAUU